GUGAACGGGAAGAGCUCAAAUUUGAAAUCUUGGCAGUCUUGCGAUUGUCCUGAGUUGUAAUCUAUAGAAGCGUUUUCCGGUGCUGAACUGUGUAUAAGUCCCUUGGAACAGGGUUAUCAAAGAGGGUGACAAUCCCGUACUUUACACAAUCAUCAGUGCUCUGUGAUACGUUCUCUACGAGUCGAGUUGUUGGGGAAUGCAGCUCAAAAUGGGUGGUAAAUUCCAAUCUAAAGCUAAAUAUUGGCGAGAGACCGAUAGCGAACAAGUACCGUGAGGGAAAGAUGAAAAGCACUUUGGAAAGAGAGUUAAACAGUACGUGAAAUUGUUGAAAGGGAAACGAAAUUCAUGAAUCAUGUUUAUUGGACUCAGCCGUUCUUCGGUGUACUUCCUUUAAACGGGUCAACAUCAGUUUUGUCCGAUGGAUAAAGGUAGUAGGAAGGUGGCUCUCUCGGGAGUGUUAUAGCCUAUUGCUGCAUACAUUGGAUGAGACUGAGGACUGCAGCUUGCCUUUAUGGCCGGGGUUCGCCCACGUUCAAGCUUAGGAUGUUGACAUAUUCUCGAAUCACGACCCGUCUUGAACGG
Molecule: ribosomal RNA, 582 nt
Filed under: Apiotrichum porosum
Lineage: Eukaryota; Fungi; Basidiomycota; Tremellomycetes; Trichosporonales; Trichosporonaceae
Description: eukaryotic LSU rRNA
Rfam family: Eukaryotic large subunit ribosomal RNA
Source: RNAcentral